Molecule: long non-coding RNA, 3435 nt
Filed under: Mus musculus (house mouse)
Lineage: Eukaryota; Metazoa; Chordata; Mammalia; Rodentia; Muridae
Description: predicted gene, 19276
Source: RNAcentral
CAUCUCAGCGGCCAUUAUCUCUUGAAACCAAAAUCCCACAAUUCUCACUUAUGCGGUGUGACCUUAGAUUCCUGCUCCACACCUUCCCAGUCAUGCUGAAUCACUCGGUGAGAGUACUCCAGAGAUGCAAGGCAGGAAAGACAACUUCAGAUUUAUGGCUCCUGACUGCCAGAGCCCUAUUUACUUAAAGCUCAUGAAGAAGAUGACAUCAUUGAGCUGAGUGCUGGGAUGAUUACAGAGGAAGAUGCCACCACUCUGGACUUUUACUUGGAAUCUGGGGAUUUGUAUACAGAUCCUCACAAGUGCAUAACAAGUGUUUUACAAACUGAGCUGUCACUCCAGCCUGAGAGCACUGAGAUUUUGACACUCAGUCUUGAACAUUGGGUUCACAGCAUCUCAGCUGACAGCACGUGGCAGAGGUUACAAGGAGCCAGGGUAAUGGCUGUAAAAGGAGGGAGGGAAGAGGUUUAGGCUGCUUGGCAUCAAUGGUGGAUUGGAAGUCAGAGGACCCCAGAUGCCACCCCUAGACCUCACAGCUGGUGAGAACUUGGUAGCUUCCUGAGUUCUGAAGUUCCAACUUUUGCUUUCAGGUGCUACUGGUCUCUUGGGAGCAGGGGGUGUCCUCAGUAAAACACAGUACCUUAGGUAGACAAUAGUGGGACCUUCUUGGACUUGACAUCAGUUUAAUGAAUAAACACAUGGACACUCAUACAUUUUUAACCUUAGGCCUUUUGCCUGGGCUUCCUCCCAGCCAGCUCAUCUAACUUAAUCUUAUUAUUCUAGACCACAUCCCACCAUGUGACUAGUCCUUUACCUCUUUUCUGGCAGUUUCCUGGAGCAGGAGUCCUCGAGUUAAAACAAAUUGCCCACUGUUUCCACAAGGACUAAGUAAUGAUUGCCUCUUUCCUAGAAUACAAAACUGAAUUUGGAAAUCAAAGGUGAUUUUUUUUUUUUACCCCAUUUGAACAAACCGUUCAGUCCUGCAAAGAACUUUAGAAGAAACCUCAGUGGACCCUGGAGGCAAAACCCAAACAAGAACUAGUCUGCUCCCUUGUCUAAAACUGCGUUCCUGAAAUGGCUCAUGGCUGUCAUUAAUGAGGUUAGUAUUCUAGUUCAAAAUUACUUAGGAAACAUUAUCAGUACUAUUUUCUUGUUGCUAUUGUCCAGCUGUUUGCACCCUAGGAUAUCUGUGAAUAUGACCAACACAUUCUUUGAUUGCCUUUAAUUAAAAAAAAAAAAAUCCAAUGGCCAGUUAGCUGGGCAGGAAGUGGAAGGUGGGACUUCCUGUGCAAAAGGAACCGUGGGAAGAAGAAGUAGGAAGGUCCUGGUCCCCAGGAGACCUGAGAGGAGACUGACUUGAUCACAGGUUUUGAAGGGACAGCUAGCCACAUGGUUGUAUGGGACUAGGUAAUCAGGUUAACUUACAUGAGCUAUUAUUAUUAUGAGAGUCUAUCUGCUAAGGCCUAAGGUUUUCAAAUACUAAAAGGUCUCUGUGUGGUUAUUUGAGAAAAAGCUGGUUAAGGGAUAAUUGCUACCAUAUUAAUUUCUAGCAAUCUUAGUAUUUACAGGGCAUUAGAUUUCUAAUACAUAGAACUUUAAAGAAACACAUUCAAAAGACAGCAGCACUAGAUUCAAUUUCCAUGUACCUCAGCAUAAUUUUCAGCCUGUAUCAGACUUUAGGGUUUUUGUUUGUUUGUUUGUUUUACCUUUUGAGUUUGAAGAAUCCCAGAGAGGGGCUGUCUGUGUCUUUGGCUGUGUUCAGACUGGUAGUGACAAAGGGGACUUGGAAAUUAAGCCUUCGGAAAUGAGACAAUACUUCUCAAAAUAGUCCAAGGGUUUUGGUUUUGUUGUUGUUGUUGUUUCUUCUCCUUAAAGCAGAGGGAUAGGGUCUAGAAAAAUGUCCCGGAGAGCUCAGGUUUGCCUGGAUGGUUUGUUAAACUGUUUCCUUUCUCUUUGAGGUUUCUCACACCAUUAGCGGGCUGGCCUGGGCUACCCACGGAGGAUUUAUUCAGUAGUGUUCCUAUUGAUUACAGUGAUUACAGAAUUGCCCUGACUUGGAAUUCACCAAGACUUUUAUCAAUACACAAGAUAAGCACAAGGCUUUAUCUAUAAGAUGUUCCAUCUUCUGCUCUCAUUUGCUUAUUAGCUGAUUUCUAAAGCAAUAGCAAGCUGGGGACCAAACCAAGCUAUGGGUUGUAGAGUCAGAGUUUGACCACAAGGUCAGUGCAGGGAGUGGGAUGACACAUGUGCGGGAAAGAAGGGACACUGGGGAAUGUCUCAUCCGCUGCUUCACUUACUCUCAGUAUCUCUCCAGACACCACGACCGCCGUGUUUUCAUAGGGAACUGGAGGCUGAGGUUCCAUUUAUUCCUUACAGUUGCAAAGUUCAUCAGCAGAGGAACUGAAAUUUGAAUUCAAGCCAACCUCUUCCUUCCAGCCUUACUGCUUUCCAGAAUAAGAUCCAACCCUUCCAAGAGGUGGAAGGGUGAAGACAGGCUUCGCUUAUCUUGCAAAUAUGUGGUAAUGGCUGUGCAGAGGGAGCUGUGUGGUCACUGAAGGACACAGUCACAUUUGGAUAGUCUGAAUGUCUGUGUUUCUUUGGGAGUUGAAAAGUCCCCUCUCUGUACUGUGUGCAUUGUAAACUCAGUAAAGGCUGAGAAGAGUCUGGGCAGAACUCAGCUCUGGAAAAGUCACUACCUUUAUGGUUAAAGAUUGAUUAUGCGACUACAGUGCACUGGGCAUAAAAAUAGACCCAACCUUUGUCCUCAGGAAUCUAGAAUAAACACACAAGAUUUAUGGUCAGAGCACUUGAUGGCUUUCUGUCAGUGACUGUUUUAAGAGCAUUUUUGUUUCAGAAUUCUAGCAAGCAGGGUUGAGAAAUGUGGUCCUCAAGGAACUAUUUUUCAUUCUGUCUUAAAUAAUUUUUAAUGUGUUGAAUGCAUAUGUAAUUGUGCUUAUUAUAUUAUUGUUCAUCAUUUAAAACAAAUAUUCCAAAAAUGUCUACCUUUUAAAAUUAGUUGUCGAACAUCUAUCUAUCUACGUUUAUUUAUAUUCCUCAUAAAAAUGGGCCUUUGGAAGCUUGGAUAAUUCUCAACAAGGUGGCUCUUACUUAAACUCUCCAUAUUGGGGAAGCUGAGGCAGGAGGAUUAAGAGUACAGUGAGGCUCAAACACCACUUCCCCACCCCCCAAAAGAAAAAAGACAAACACUAGUUUAAGGAAUUUUUGAUGGAGUCCACACAGCAGGGCAGUGAUGGGUAAGCUAGGCUAGGAGAUGGUAAAAAACAAAGUUUAUUUGCAAACUCGCAAAUGAAACCUAAUUCUCUAACCUCUAACUCUCUAAACCUAAUUUCUGCACUGACAACAUACUUAAAAAAAAAAAAAAAGAAAAAGAAAAAGAAUGUUUCCAAUUAAAAAAAAAUCAGAAUUACUGCCUGU